RNAcentral lists this ribosomal RNA (590 nucleotides) under Paratenuisentis ambiguus. RNAcentral describes it as "small rRNA". Lineage: Eukaryota; Metazoa; Acanthocephala; Eoacanthocephala; Neoechinorhynchida; Tenuisentidae. The record is from RNAcentral.
AAGCUUAAAAUUAAAGAGCUUUUAAAACUAAAUAAGCUUAUGUUAUAAAUUUGUAAGUUAAGAUUAGUAGCAUUAGAGUAGUUAAACACUUUGUGAGGAGUGAGUUGUAAGCCUUAAAAAUGUUGUGCCAGCGUUAGCGGUUAUACAGCUAGGGGGUUUUGUAGAGUCGGUUGUUCAAUUUAAUUUUAGUUUUAGGGGUGAAAUCUGUAAAAUUAUAUUUAAGUUGAUAUUAAAGAUAAGUUAAACAGGAUUAGAUACCCUGGUAAUUAUCAAAGGUAUCGUAGGGGGUUAAAUUUAGUAAUUAUGGCGGUCAGAGAUAAACAGGGGGGCCUGGAUUAGAAAAUAAACUUAGUAAAUAAAUUUGAUUUACUUCUUGUGUGAUCGCACAAAGCUAAAAAGUUUUGGGGUAGAUAUAUAUAAGGGAUGGAGUUUUUUCUCUGGGUUUUUAUUUGAGAGUUAGAUUAUAAUUAAACAAUAAACUUGUUAGUAAUGUAGACUUUAUGAAUUUAUUUCUUUGAAGUACAUAUCGCCCGUCAGCACCUUUUAGGUGUAAGUCGUAACAUAGUGGGCUUAUUGGAAGAUGAGCCUUA